This 1296-nucleotide long non-coding RNA is filed under the name Sinocyclocheilus grahami. RNAcentral's name for it is "lncRNA (ENSSGRG00000014900.1)". Lineage: Eukaryota; Metazoa; Chordata; Actinopteri; Cypriniformes; Cyprinidae. The record is from RNAcentral.
AUGUUGGACACCGGCUCUAUGGCCUGUACGUUAAAUGAUUCAGUUGUCAGUAAACUAAGGGAACAUGGUGCUUUGGAUACUGUUAAGGAAGAAGAUACAGACGUCGUCUUAAUUGGAUGUGGCGGCAAACGAACAUUCCCAAAGUGCAUGCUUGCGCUUAAGCUGGACAUUUACGGCUGUGACGUUAUUGUCCCUUGUCUUGUUGUUCCAGGCCAAGGAGAUGAUCUCAUUCUGGGGACAAACGUCAUCAAACAUCUUGUUCACAGAUUAAAAGAUUCUGACAGAUAUUGGGAACUGAUCUCUACACCCAGUGGACAUAAUCCAGAGAGUGACGAGUUCUUGUCUAUGAUGGCUGGAGUAUGUCGAUGGAGGGGUGGAACUAUUCCAGAUGUUGUUGGUACAGUUAAACUUCAACACACUGUUACACUUUCGCCUGGCCAAGAGCAUCUUGUCUGGGGUAAACUCCCUCUUAAGUCCUGUAGCCAACCGGGCAGUACAGUUAUGGUGGAGCCAUCUAGACUUCGUUCUGCCUCCAGGAAUGUUUUAGUGUGUCGUGUUGUCACUCCGCUUUGGGGCGAUGGCUGGAUUCCACUUAACAUCAACCCUAGCGAUAAACCAGUAACACUGAAGAGAAACGCCAAAGUGGCCGAUGUUUAUCCCUGUAUUGCGUUGGAGGAUGUGUGCGAAACAAGGCCUGAGCUUCCACUUCGAUCGAGCAGUCAGCAGUCAGCAGCUGAGUCAGAUAAGUCUAAUAAACUGACCGACAGACUCUGUAAGUGUGGAUUAGUGACUGUUGAUUUGGAAAAGUGCGAAGUUUCUGAAUUCUGGAAGGCAAAAUUGUGUGACUUAGUGCUCGAGUAUGAGUCUAUCUUUUCCAGACAUUCUCUUGAUUGCGGUGAAGUCAAGGACUUUGUACACAGGAUUUGUCUGUUCGACGAAAGGCCGUUUCGCUUACCAUACAGACGAGUCCCUCCUUCACAAUACCAGGAAUUACGUGUUGCUUUGAACGAGAUGGAGGAGAGGGGAAUAAUUAGCAAGUCAGUCACUGAAUUCGCGUCACCUUUGGUUCUGUGCUGGAAAAAAGAUGGCAAUCUUCGCAUAUGUACAGAUUUCAGUGAAGGAUGCACACCCCCUGCCCCAUCAGGAAGACUGUCUAGCAGCCCUCCAGACAUUCUCUUGAUUGCGGUGAAGUCAAGGACUUUGUACACAGGAUUCGUCUGUUCGACGAAAGGCCGUUUCGCUUACCAUACAGACGAGUCCCUCCUUCACAAUACCAGGAAUUACGUGUUGCUUUGA